CCUCCCGGCCGCCUGUACACUUCACACUAUAUAUACUUCCCCUCAAAAUGCCUGUUCAGCAGCAGCAUACCUCCCCUGACCACCACGUAUUGCACAACAGAUUUAUCAUCACGAAUAUAUAUGGAUCGGAUAUUCUUGCUUCUACCCGGCCUGACAAUAUAAUUAGAUAGGUUUUAUUAUUUUCUAUCUUUUGUAAGUUUCCAUUUUGCUGCCCAACACUUUAGUCCAAAUUUUAUUUUCCUCUAUCCACCAUAUAUAUAUAGGUACGGUACGGUUAUCUCUCAUUUCUACUAUCCAUGAUAAAUUUUCCAGGUACAGCUUUCAGCUUUGGAUGGAGUUAUGGAAAUAUAUAGUUGCAAGAUGAUAUCCUUCAUGGCAAUAUAAUGUAAAGCUCUGCCAGAACUAACUUGAAAUAGGUAUACUAUUGCACACUUGAACUGUACGUAUUUCAGAAUAACAGUGAUGAAAGUAAAUUUGGAUGGACGUACCAGUAAGACACCACCGAC
This is a long non-coding RNA of Ipomoea nil (Japanese morning glory), 506 nucleotides long. RefSeq lists it as uncharacterized. The record is from RefSeq and is a predicted model, not a curated record. The transcript has 3 exons. NCBI's taxonomy places the organism in Eukaryota, Viridiplantae, Streptophyta, Magnoliopsida, Solanales, Convolvulaceae.